CAGAAAAUAAUAUAUGUAUAUAGUAUGUAAAUUUUGGAGAUUUAUAGAGAUUGGAUCUUUUCUGA
This 65-nucleotide transfer RNA is filed under the name Rhipicephalus maculatus. RNAcentral describes it as "tRNA-Pro". Lineage: Eukaryota; Metazoa; Arthropoda; Arachnida; Ixodida; Ixodidae. The record is from RNAcentral.